This is an RNA transcript of Mandrillus leucophaeus (drill), 1770 nucleotides long. It is a transcript of the gene named protein DEK pseudogene, with no coding region annotated. NCBI's taxonomy places the organism in Eukaryota, Metazoa, Chordata, Mammalia, Primates, Cercopithecidae. The transcript has a single exon. The record is from RefSeq and is a predicted model, not a curated record.
AAAAUCUUGUUGAUUCUGGGGAGCCCAGCGCGUGGCACGAGCGUCACGCCAAACAGCCCGCUCGCCUUCUCUUCGGUGUCGGCCGCCGCCACCUCCCAGAACCUCCUCGUGCCCUCGUGUGCCAGGCCCGCGGUGGCCGAGAUCCACGGUUCACAGCAUGUCCGCCUUGGCCCCUGCUGCGGAGGGAGAGGGAACCCCCGCCCAGCCCGCAUCCGAGAAAGAACCCGAAAUGCCCAGUCCCAGAGAGGAGAGCGAGGAGGAAGAGGACGAGGACAACCAGGAGGAGGAGGAAAAAGAAAAGAGUCUCAUCGUGGAAGGCAAGAGGGAAAAGAAGAAAGUAGAGAGGUUGACAAUGCAAAUCUCUUCCUUACAGAGAGAGCCAUUUACAAUUGCACAAGGAAAGGGGCAGAAACUUUGUGAAAUUGAGAGGAUACAUUUUUUUCUAUGUAAGAAGAAAACCGAUGAAGUUAGAAAUCUACACAAACUGCUUUACAACAGGCCAGGCACUGUGUCCUCAUUAAAGAAGAAUGUGGGUCAGUUCAGUGGCUUUCCGUUUGAAAAAGGAAGUGUCCAAUAUAAAACGAAGGAAGAAAUGUUGAAAAAAUUUAGAAAUGCCAUGCUAAAGAACAUCUGUGAGGUUCUUGAUUUAGAGAGAUCAGGUGUAAAUAGUGAACUAGUGAAGAGGAUCUUGAAUUUCUUAAUACAUCCAAAGCCUUCUGGCAAACCAUAGCCAAAAUCUGAAAAAACUUCUAGCAAAGGCAGUAAAAACGAACGGAACAGUUCUGGAAUGGCAAGGAAGGCUAAGCGAACCAAAUGUCCUGAAAUUCUGUCAGAUGAAUCUAAUACUGAUGAAGAUGAAAAGAAAAACAAGGAAGAGUCUUCAGAUGAUGAAGAUAAAGAAAGUGAAGAGGAGCCACCAAAAAAGACAGCCAAAAGAGAAAAACCUAAACAGAAAGCUACUUCUAAAAGUAAAAAAUCUGUGAAAAGUGCCAAUGUUAAGAAAGCAGAUAGCAGCACCACCAAGAAGAAUCAAAACAGUUCCAAAAAAGAAAGCGAGUCUGAGGAUAGUUCAGAUGAUGAACCUUUAAUUAAAAAGUUGAAGAAACCCCCUACAGAUGAAGAAUUAAAGGAAACAAUAAAGAAAUUACUGGCCAGUGCUAACUUGGAAGAAGUCACAAUGAAACAGAUUUGCAAAAAGGUCUAUGAAAAUUAUCCUAUUUAUGAUUUAACUGAAAGAAAAUAUUUCAUAAAAACAACUGUAAAAGAGCUAAUUUCUUGAGAUAGAGGACAGAGAUGACUCGUUCCCACAGAUUUGAAGAUCUGAUUUAUACCAUUAUACCAGCAAAGAGAAUGUAUUUCCUUUUCUAAAUCCUUGUUAAGCAACGUUAGAACUUACUGCUGACCUUUUUAUCUUGAGUCUUAUGUGAAUUUGAGUUUGCUAUUUUAAAUUGAAUUUCUAUGCCAUUUUUAGUUUAAAAUCUUACAUGGCAUUAACUGUUCCUUGCUUUUAUAGUUGUAUUUUAUACAUUUUGGGUUUCUUUAUAUAAGGUCAUAGAUUCUUGAACUGUUGUGGUUUUAGUGCACUUAAUAUUAGCUUGCUUAAGGCACACUUUUAAUCAAGUAGAACAAAAACUAUUAUGACUGGGAUUUAUACACACAGAGAUUGCAGUAUUUAGUAUAUGAAAUAUUUUGAAUACACAUCUCUGUCAGUGUGAAAAUUCAGUGGCAGUGUGUCCAUCAUAUUAAAAAUAUACAAGCUACAGUUGUCCA